This is an RNA transcript of Phyllostomus discolor (pale spear-nosed bat), 7889 nucleotides long. It is a transcript of the gene named gamma-glutamylamine cyclotransferase, with no coding region annotated. The record is from RefSeq and is a predicted model, not a curated record. NCBI's taxonomy places the organism in Eukaryota, Metazoa, Chordata, Mammalia, Chiroptera, Phyllostomidae. The transcript has 2 exons.
GUUGGACUCCAGCCGAGCCGGGGACCGGGAGCUGUCCUGGUGUCCACGCACUGCCCUGGGGACUCCAGGGAGUCGGGCCGUCUGUGCUGACGCUGCGUGUUGCUCUGGGACAAAGUCUGGGCCGAGGGGUCCAGGGAGGUGGGGGAGAGGAAGAGAGGGGAGGGGCAGAGUCUGGGCAGGAAGAGGGACGCCGAAUGCUUUCUGAGCCUGCUGGAAGGGAGGGAACACGGGGGCCGUUAAAUGCGUGCAUCCACGGACUGGCUCCACUCUGCGCGAAGCGAGCACCACUGCCAGAAUGGGCUAGUGAAGAAACAGUUAGCAUCUGCCUUCAGGUUAGGUAGACUGCUUGUUCCUAAUAAGAGAAAAAGUAACGUCUUACGAAGGUAGUUUUAAGAAAGGAUAUCUAAGUUGAAUGAGGUAAUGAGGUUUAACACUUUUCGGAAUUGUUUUUAAUUUUAGAGAUACCUGUUUGUGAGGAAAUCAAAAGCUGCAAAAGAAAUGUAAAAACUUCUGGCCUUUGCCAGUUUUGGGGCUUAGUUUUCUUUGAAGCCAUUGGUGACACAUCUGAAGUUUUGGAGCAGUUGCUUUUUCUGCCUUGAUUACACUAAAUGUGGCUAUUGCUGUUUAACUUUGAAAGCCCUAAAUGGGUGCACGGUUUUCUGAAUAUACCUUCUUGAUUCCAAACUUACUUUGUGAAUAUUGAACUGAUAAGAAAAUUUAUUGUAGCCAUAUUUUAAAGCAGAUUAUUAAUUUUGCUAAUAGGUAUUAAAAACGAAGGGGUAUCACUAAAUCAGGUUGAUCUAUGUAAAGUGUAGGUCUUAAUCACUCACCAUACUUAUGUAACUUGCCCUAUAAUUGAAGACUGUUCUCUCCAGUCUUGUGCAGUUUAUUGAAAUGCUAAUAUAAAGAGCUCCUGCAGUUUGCCCUUAUUUUCCCCAAAUUACUUGGUUUUUUGAAUUGACUCCCAGGAAAAACAAACUCCUAAGCAGCCUAUCUGGUGGAGAGCACUGUAUUUCAAAAGCAUAGUUUGCAAAGUUAAAUUUUCUAAUAGGUGGAUUUUUGUUCAGAAAUAUUUUGAACCAGUCAACCUUGCUAAUGAGGGUCUUAACUAUUAACACUGGUCCUAGAAAGGGUUAGGCCUUAGCUCAUGGGCAGCAGGAAGUAGAAGAGAAUACAGAUACAAAUUGAUACUGUUUAAGCUUUAAAAUUAUAUGCUCAUUUUUUCUCUAUUUUACCUAGUAAGAGCUCUUGAAAAUUCCAGCCUAUGUCAACUGUUCCUAGUGGAGUUGUUGAAAGGCUGUGUACCUACAGUUAGCCUAGCCCUGUGGGUACUACAGGGCUAACUGAGGAUGUAAGGCACCCUGCAGGCUGGCAUGAUGCAGACAAUGGUGUUUGCAGAAGGACUGGUCUCACAGAAAAGUGGCAAUAAGAGGACAAAAAUCAAGUGAUCUUAGCAAUCUUCUCUAGAGCAUUUUCCAGCCAGAGGUAAACCUUGGUUAUUAGACAUUUUAUUAAGAGAACAUUGGUUAGCCCUGGCCCGUGUGACUCAGUUGGUUGGAGCAUUGUCCUGCAAACCAAAAGUGUGCGGGUUCCAUUCCCCAUUGGGGCACAUCCCUAGGCUGUGGGUUCAGUCCCUGGUUGGGGGCACAUACAAUAGCCAACCCAAUCAAUGUUUCUCUCUCACAUGGAUGUUUCUCUUCCCCUCUCUGUUUCCCUUCUCCCCUAUAAGCAUGUUCUCUGGUGAGGAUUUAAGAAAAAAAAGAGAGUUGGUUAAACAUGACAAACAUCUUGCUUAACAAGAUCCCAUUCUUUAAUUGAAAUUCUCUCUUGUCAGUGAAAAUUUUCAGGGCAAGAAAGCCUUGUUUAGGUUGGACCUGUUUAGGCUAUAUAGGCAGAGCUUACCCUGGGUAAGGUGUUAUACUCCUCUAGUGGGUUUACAGAAAAAAGCACAAAGACUAAUUCUCACUGGAGGACUUAGGGGAGGUUACAUUUGCACUGAACCUUGAGCAGAGAGUAGAAUUUUUAUAGGCAAAGGAGUGUAAUGAGGCAUUUCUAGUAGUAAACACCAUGGACAAAGAUAAGAAGUUACAACAUAAUUAUGUUCAUAAAUGUGGGAGCAAAUGAUAUGCUGAGGCUAGACUCAGCAUAAGGAGGGGUGGGGUUGGGGUGGGAGGUGUGCCUGGAAAGAAAGCCUAUGUAGUGAUACACUUUUUGAUCAAGGUCCUGAUUUAUUUUUCUUUUUUAUUAAAGUAAACAUAAAAUGAACUUUAAUGAACUAUAACAAACAUCAAAUAGAUUUAAUGAUUUGUUAAAACAAAAUCUUUUUUAGCCAAAUCUGCUUCAUCUUUUUAUUUUGAGGCUUUUUGCAGUUGUUGUAGCAGUUUAAAUUCCAGGCAACGUAAUAUUUCACCCCUACAAAGUGUAGUAGGCACCUCCCCAAAGGAAGGCAUUUUCUUGUUUACCAUAAUACCAUUGUCAUGUCCUAAUCAAAUUGACAAUAAUUCCUUACAGUUUUCUAAAACCCAGUCCACUAUCAAAUUUUAGUGAUUGGCUCAGACAUGAACUUAUUUUUACUGCUGGUCUGUGUGAAUCAGAAUCUUGAGUAUCUGCUGUCUUUUUAAAUCUAGAACAGGGGUUUAACAGACUUUUCUUAAAAAGGCCAGAUGCUAACUCUGUUAGGUUUUGCAGGCCAUGCAGUCUCUGCUGCAACUCCCCAACUGUCUUGUCCUGAAAAGUUAGCCAUGGAUGAUAUGUAAAAAUUUGCAUGAAUGUGUUCCCAUAAAAUUGUGUGUUUCACAGUUAUUUGUUUAAAACUCCACUGGUGGAUUGAGCAUUAGUUUGCUGACAGUUGUCUAAAGCAGUACCCAUGUGUUUCUUUAAUGCCAAUGAUUUAUUGGUGUCACUUGGUUGUCUAUAAAUGUUUCAUAUUCUGGCUUCACCUUUUUGUUUAGUACAGUUUAGCUUGCUCCUCUAUCCCCUAUAGCUUCUGUUAUCUGAAAGAGCUAAAGGCAUAAAUUCAGGUUGAACAUUUUUGGCAGAUGUAGUUUGAAUUUUUAAAAAAUAUAAAUUUAAGACCUUAGAAGACUAGGAAACCUUCAUCCAGGAAGCUCAUUUUUUUUCUAAAAUAGUCUUUGCCUGGUGACUGAGUACAGUUUUUCCUUUGAUUCUUACUUUCCUUACUUGAAGAGAGGAUAUAGCUGCUGCUUCUCAAGGAGGCUGAGAACUUUGAACCCCUCUGCUACGUCACUGGGAAUUUUCCUUUUUUGAAGGCAUCUUGUGGCCUCUUGGGCCAGUGUACUACAUUUUCUCAUUGAAUGGAACUACCUUUCUUGGGCCCACAUCCAGGGCCUAAAAUGUUUUCCACCAGGGGCUGGGUGAUUUGUUUUUGUUUUUAAGCUUCUUGUCACAUAAACACUCAACUUUCUUUACUCACCCUUUUCUUAAUCUUACCUCCAGCAGGACUGAGAACUGGAUACCUACCUGGUGCAUAUCAUCCUAUAAGGUGGGAUUACAUGUCCUGGUGUACUGCUUGGAAGGAUUCUGAAGUCAAAAGCAUUUCAGACUCUCAGACUUACUGUGGUAUUGGAUUCCAGGGCCACACAGUUUUGAAGAAACAAGCUUACAGGACUCCAGGUGGCCAUUACAGGCUACUCUGCCUUGUCUUGAAUGUUGGGUUCCAGAAAGUGAUGGAGUUUAAGGAAGGCUACUACAAAUCUGCUUCAGAGAUACUUUGGGAAUAUUUGAAUGCUUGUGAAAAUCCUAAAUAAAAGAUAUGUGGAGUGUUUUUUUUUUUCCUAUUGAUUAGGGACUGUGAAGUAUGUUGAGCUCAGAUAAGAAUAUAAACUGGUAAGAAUAAUUCCAGACCUAAUGGCCUGCAAAUUGCCUCCCUCCAUGAUCUCACUGAAUCUUUUUAGGUUCACUUUCUUUGAGGUAUAAUUUACAUGCAAGAAAACUGACACAUUAAGUGCACAGGUUGGUGAUUUAGACAAAAGACAAGAACAUUGCCAUCUUCCUAGAAUGUGUCGCCUCCACACUCCUGCCCCCAUUGAUCUAACUGCUGUCUCUAGAGAUUAGUUUUGCAGGUUCUAGAUGGCCUUUUAGCUCUAUAAGGCUAUAUGGGUGUAUACCACUGUCCCUGCUCUAGGGAGGCUGGGGGCAGGGCAGGGAGUAACUGGCCCCAUGUCAGAGUCUCGGGCUCCAGAGCACUUUGCUCUCCCUGGACUUUGCCUCUGGGAGAGGACAUCUGAAGGAAAUGGUGGCAGAGCCACAGGAAUGAAUUCAAUUCCUGUAAAUUUAUACCUGGAGCAGUAUUUGAACUGGUGGGGUUUUUUUGUGACAAGGAGAAAUUGAGAAAUUACAAAAAGACUGAAGACCUGCAGGAUCUCUUCAGGAAUUUGGACUGAGAGGGGAUAACCACUUGCUUUAGUGUAGCAGGUAUUGAUUAAAUGCCUACUGCAUGCACUCAACUGUGCUGGCUGAUAUGGAAGAUGUGAAAGGAAGAAAAGGUUUGAUCCCUGCCUUUCAGCUCUUGAUUUGAAAAACAGUUUAGAGAGAAAUACAGGGUCCCUUGUUCAGAAUCAGAAAGAGUACAGUUAUAAGACACUAAAAUAUGAAGUGUUUUUCCUUUGGUCUUUCUCUUUUGAUUUGUCAUGGUGUUUUAGUUAUUACUUCAUCAGUAUUAUUUUAUUUAUAGUUUUAUUACUAUUAUAUUAAAUUCUUAGCAUUCAGUUUAUCAUUCAUCUUUAUAUUGUGUAAUGUCCAUUUUAAUUUAAAUACAAAUAUAGGAGUAUUUUUUAAUACAUGUGAAAUCACAGAAAUGAUAAUAUCGCAGAACUUGUGCAUGCAUAUGUAUUUUAUUCUUACCAGAACUAGAAACUCUGCUUAAAACUAUCUCAACUGUAUUUAUUUCAGUUCUUGACAUGUGUACAUUCUACCAACGUUGCCCACCAUCAGUUCCUGAUGAUGGAGCAAAGACUGAGAGGUAGAGAAACUCUGGGGUUCUGAGUCACUCUUGCCCUCUGUGUCACCAUCUUCAUUGUGUGUGGUGGUCUGGUACAGGGAAGUACCCCAUGUAAGGAAGAUUAGGAUAGAGCUCCUUGGUUGUUAGUAUUUCGUAGAAUUCUAUUGCCUUUUCCAGUGUUCAAAGCAAGUUUUGCUUGGAAUGGAAAGUGUGGCCUUUACUGGCUGGCAAAGUCAUACAUGUAACAUGUCACCUUGCCCUCACUUCUAGUCUCACUGAAUCCCAUCCGUCAUGGGUCUACCAGGGUUCCGUGCUUGUAGUGCACUGAGAGUGGUGUCUGCCUGUGGGGCUGCAUGGACCACCCCUGCUCUCUAGAAGAUGCUCUGGUGUUUCAUCAGGCUUUGCUUACGCAAGUUGAGAUAAAAUUAUUAAGAAUUCCAGGAUAGUGGCUGCUUUUGAGUGUUGAUUCUCCAGACUGACUGCACCGGUGUUUGUUUGGUGCUCAGUAAGUGCCUGUGGGUACCUUCUAGGUGAAGAUACAUAUGGAAUCUGGUGUGGGGCAGUGGCCCAAGCCAGCUACCAGGGGCCCUCUGGUGGCUGAAAGCUGGUCCUGUUCUGAGGAUGAGAGGAGCACCCUCUUCACAGGACUGAGGGGAGAGCCUUUGUAGGGCAGGAAGAAGGUGUGAAGGCAGACCCAUCUGCUCUGUUGUCUUUAAUUGGGGAACCUGUGGAAAGUCACUUCAUCUCUUAUUUCCCCCACCUGUAAAAUGGGGAGAAGCUAGGGAGUGAAAUCUCUGAGUUGUAUUAACUUGAAAAUAUAAGUGAAGCAUUUAGCAAGGGUCAGGCACACAGUAAAUGCUCUCAGUUGUGGUGGCCAGCAUUAUUUUUAUUUUCCCCUUUCAGCCACAGGUGGGCCCACAGGUAAAGCCCUUGUUUCUGAAGCCAUGCCCACAGGGCAGGUAGGCACUUUGAGGUGAUAACUCCUGGCACCUUCUCGUUGUAUCUUAGACCUGCUGCCAGACCCCAUGUCUCCACCGCGCUCUACUCUGGCUGGCGGUUCCAGGCCUUUCCUGAGCUUUCUGUGCCUCCUGCUGGGAACUGUGGGGGCUGGUAGCACCUCCACUCCCAGCUGUGCCUGGUAUUUAGGGCAGUGUCCGUGGCAGGCCCUGCCAAUUCAGCAGCCUCCAUUUCCAUAAAACCCUUUCCCUGACUCGGUGUUUGGGGAUUUUCCUGCUGCUCCUUUCCAGACUUUUAAGAGCCCUCCUGGGAGACAGUCAUCUCCCUUGCCUGUCACUGUAUGUUUUUAAAAUGGCAACACAAUCGUUAUUAAAGUGGUAUGGCAUUAAAAAUCUUUCUUUUUAAAAGUUUUUGUCAUUGCUAAAGAAUAAAAACCCACAGAAUGGUCGCUGAGGGAGCAUUCAGAGGCCUUAGUGUGUACCAGAGACCAUGAAACGCUGGUUUGUUCUCGGGGUCCCACAAAGGUCCAGAGUUUGAGGGAGUGACUGGGAGUGGAGACCCGAACGUCUUUAUUUCAAAGGUACCGCCAUUUCACCCAAGCUGCUUGGUUAAUGUAAGAAAGGUGUUUUGCCAUAAACUUUCCAGGGUAUUCAGUGGGGUUGCCUGGGCAGGAAGCCCUUGUCAUUGCUAUAAAGAAACUAGCAAGCAAGAGAGUGAAAGCAUCAAAGCACCCACAGGAUGCAGCUGAGCCCUCCCUGGCCCAUCGCCCUCCAGCCACUCUAAGGGGAGAGUGACAUGACCUUAAGUACUUCGUUUGAGCAAGCUGCACUCUAGUUUAAAGUUCAAGGCAUUUUGUUUUUUCACCUGUUUCCUACAGUUCUAAGAAACUUCUGAAGAAUUAAUGUGUAACUAUAUCAGAUACCCAGGCAUUUUCUCAAGGGAAAAUAAUGUUACAUACAGUAGGAAGGGAGAGAAAUGGUAGUUGACUGAGAUGUGAGAAGGUUUCUGUAAAAUAAGAAAAAUUCUCUUUAGAGCAGUCACAGACAACAUCCUAUAUGCUUUUUUAAAGAUUUGACCUCAUUUACUAACAUCUACAUCUGCUAAAGGCCCCUGCCCAUUGUUGCCACUUGUGGCCAAGUGGGGACUAGGGCAGCAGUUGUGAAACUACUCAUUUUGACAGAUGCUCUUCAUAAAUUUGGUGGAGCCAUGAUUCUGCUGGAGCUGACUUUGACAUAAGACAUUGAAUGAUGAAAGCUAAUUUUUAUAGCAAAUGGAAAGACAGAUAAGAGGGGGCUUCCCUGGCUGUUCUUUGGGACAGGCAUUUCUGGUUCUGAAGCAGUUCAUUCUCCAGCCAGUGGUGAGUGGCAGAGCAGGCUCCUCAGAGGCCUUAAUUUUAUGCAACUCAAAUCCAGUCAUUAUACCUGUCUUCUCUAACACAGUCUUGACUUGACAACAGGCAGUAAUCAUUACUAGUACCUUGACGUUUUAUUGCUUGGAGAAAACAGUUUGAAGUGAUGACACACAGCUUUUACUAACCUUUCUUCAUAUCAUUAAAUUUUAACGCAUACAGGAUGAAUAUUUUUUGAAGGAUGUUUUUAUGGUAGAAGCUGGUGUCCAUUUAAAUCCUCUUGCAGACUGAUUUAAGAAGAGUUAAAUACUAGCCCUUUUUUUGUUUGGUUCACGAGGUACGUAUGUUUCUAAAUGUGGCCCAGGCAUAUGUGUAUUUCUAAUUUGUAAACUAGCAUAAUAAACACUUAAAUUAAAUUCUGCCUUUUACACCCUUACCACCAGGUGGCUAAGAAAAAAUACUGAGCAGGAAAAAUCUAACAACUAUGCAAAGCACUCGUGAUGAUUUUCGAUUUCUGCUUAAGUGCUGAAAUAUGAAACUGUAGAUGGACUGUGUUUCAGGAAAGAAAACUGCUGAAUAAGUGACAGGCAUUUCAAGCAGUGCCAGGCCAGAUGGACAUUUUCA